AAGGAUGACGGCCCUACGGGUUGUAAACUUCUUUUGUACGGGAAAAAAACCCCUGAUCGUGUAUCGGGGCUGAUGGUACCGUAAGAAUAAGGAUCGGCUAACUCCGUGC
Molecule: ribosomal RNA, 109 nt
Filed under: uncultured bacterium
Lineage: Bacteria
Description: partial 16S ribosomal RNA
Rfam family: Bacterial small subunit ribosomal RNA
Source: RNAcentral